GCGUCCGUGGCAGUGUUGAAGGCCAGGUUGGAUUGGGCACUCGGCAGCCUAGUCUAGGAUUAGAUAUGAUGCAGAUGGGAUUCAAGCAUCUGUUUUGCAGCCAGCUCGAGUGGAGCUCUUGGAGCUCAUGGGCGCCCCAUGCCCGCAUCAGCGUGGGUAGUGUGUGCCCUUCCUGCGCGGUGGGGCUUUGCUGUUUGGAGGCUGACGCUGAGGAGACUGUGUUUCUUCGUUUAUCGGUGGCAGCAAUCCAGCUCUGUCAGCAGAGGACUCCUGCGGCUGGCUGGCCUCAGCCUGAGAUGUUGAUGCUUCCAUCUCCUCAGGUUCUUUCUGCCUGCUCUUCUUAGCCCUGCGCCUGAGAAGUCUGACUGAGUCGCAUGCCAGAAGUGGCAGCCGGGAUGGAGUGCCUUGCGAUGCCUGCGACGGGCUGGACUGAGCCCUUGAGGAAGGUCUGGAAUCGUUGCUGAAAGAUUCGUUGGCUUUGGGCAACUUGAGCACCGCAGCCACACGAUGGGCUUUUUCCGCUUCCCGUUCUUCCUCACGGAAGCUCACGUGUUUGGUUCCCGGGGCUCGGCCCAGGUCUUCUUGGCUGUCUGUUUCUGCCUGGCCCUGCAGCUGGCAGGUCAGCGGCUGCUUUUGGUCUUCAGGCACUCCAGGGAUGGCUGGCAGCAGACUGAAAGGACAGAGCAGGAGGGGUCCGCCUGAGAGGGUGAUGGUUUUGGGGCCGCGUCCUGCAAGCCGGAGCCAGGACCCUUGGCUGCAACGCAGCCUUCCCCACAGACAGCUCACCGGCUGCCCCGUGGCUCUCCCCCGUGGGAUCCAGAAACAGGGACCCUUUGGGGCUAGGGAAUGGGCUCUCGUUGGCUCAGUCAAUCACCCCCAUGCACAUGCCAAGCCAGAGCCUCCAGCCUCACCUGGACGUAGAGCUCUCCUUGCGCAGUAAGCUCCUUAUCCUUCGGAGUUUUCCUCCAUCUAGACUGUCCGAGCUCAAGCGUUUGAUGAAAGUUGGCUUGCCAGCAAAUCUCACUGGGAUUGGGAAGGCAGAGGAGACUUACCGUCAACCCUUUGGCUCACUCACCAGGGGCGCUCAGGCCUGUUCCCAGAACAUGCGUGAGGGUCGCUCUGCUCCCCCCACUGCUGACAUCUGUGCCGCCCGCGGACCCUCCCUGAAACCAUCUCUGGCCCCACUUCUCCUC
This 1193-nucleotide long non-coding RNA is filed under the name Gallus gallus (chicken). RNAcentral's name for it is "lncRNA (ENSGALG00010000115.1)". The record is from RNAcentral. Lineage: Eukaryota; Metazoa; Chordata; Aves; Galliformes; Phasianidae.